UGCAACGCGAAGAACCUUACCAAGGCUUGACAUGUUCUCGAUCGCCGUAGAGAUACGGUUUCCCCUUUGGGGCGGGAUCACAGGUGGUGCAUGGUUGUCGUCAGCUCGUGUCGUGAGAUGUUGGGUUAAGUCCCGCAACGAGCGCAACCCUCGUUCCAUGUUGCCAGCACGUAAUGGUGGGGACUCAUGGGAGACUGCCGGGGUCAACUCGGAGGAAGGUGGGGACGACGUCAAAUCAUCAUGCCCCUUAUGUCUUGGGCUUCACGCAUGCUACAAUGGCCGGUACAAUGGGUUGCGAUACUGUGAGGUGGAGCUAAUCCCAAAAAGCCGGUCUCAGUUCGGAUUGGGGUCUGCAACUCGACCCCAUGAAGUCGGAGUCGCUAGUANUCGCAGAUCAGCAACGCUGCGGUGAAUACGUUCCCGGGCCUUGCACACACCG
RNAcentral lists this ribosomal RNA (439 nucleotides) under Micrococcus sp. RNAcentral describes it as "bacterial SSU rRNA". It matches the Rfam family "Bacterial small subunit ribosomal RNA", at positions 955 to 1392 of the family's 1533-position model. The record is from RNAcentral. Lineage: Bacteria; Bacillati; Actinomycetota; Actinomycetes; Micrococcales; Micrococcaceae.